Molecule: long non-coding RNA, 538 nt
Filed under: Pan troglodytes (chimpanzee)
Lineage: Eukaryota; Metazoa; Chordata; Mammalia; Primates; Hominidae
Description: long non-coding RNA NONPTRT017199
Source: RNAcentral
AAGUUACAUUGUUAUUGCUAUUUUUCUAACAAAUGGUAUUUAGUUUUUAGCAUGCAUACUUAACAAAGUCUAGAACAAAUUACUAUAUAUUUUCUCAGCUAACAUAAUAAAAGGAUUUAGAUAUAAUUAUUUAACUCAAAGGACUGCAUUCUUAUCUUUGUCAUGUAUUUUAAUUCUGCUAUUUUUGCUCUUCUUGACUGUGCUUUGGGGGUCAUAUCCAAGAAACCAUUGCUCAGACCAGUGUCAUGGAGCUUUUUUUGAAUGGUUAACUUAUAUUUCUCUGAACCUGAUAUUCUACCUGAAAUCACUCCUUUAUCAUUCACUUUGUGUGCACCAUCAACUUUUGCGACUGGUUGCAGUGAUCACUUCAAUGGCCUUUCCCAAUUCCCUUCUCUUACCUGCUUUUCAGUAUUUUCAGACUAUUCUUGUUAGGUAGGGGAUAACUAUGGUUUUAGUUUUUUAAAAUCUUCUCUUUCAGUUUAUCCAUUAUCUCAAGUUCUUAAGAGAAUUACCCUCCUUGUUAUGUCUGCAGGCUACA